RNAcentral lists this small nuclear RNA (100 nucleotides) under Moschus moschiferus (Siberian musk deer). Lineage: Eukaryota; Metazoa; Chordata; Mammalia; Artiodactyla; Moschidae. The record is from RNAcentral.
UUGCUUCAGCAGCCGGUUUACUAAAAUUGAAACAAUACAGAGAUUAUCAUGGCCCCUGGUCAAGGAUGACAUGCAAAUUCAUGAAGAGUUGGGUAUUUUU